AUACGGAGGGUGCAAGCGUUACUCGGAAUCACUGGGCGUAAAGCGCGCGCAGGCGGCUUGAUAAGUUGGAUGUGAAAGCCUACGGCUCAACCGUAGAACUGCAUCCAAAACUAUUAGACUAGAGUGUGGGAGAGGAAGAUGGAAUUAGUUGUGUAGGGGUAAAAUCCGUAGAGAUAACUAGGAAUACCAAAAGCGAAGGCAAUCUUCUGGAACACUACUGACGCUGAGGCGCGAAAGCGUGGGGAGCAAACAGGAUUAGAAACCCCGGUAGUCC
This 274-nucleotide ribosomal RNA is filed under the name uncultured bacterium. RNAcentral's name for it is "partial 16S ribosomal RNA". It matches the Rfam family "Bacterial small subunit ribosomal RNA", at positions 523 to 796 of the family's 1533-position model. The record is from RNAcentral.